RNAcentral lists this ribosomal RNA (467 nucleotides) under uncultured bacterium. RNAcentral describes it as "partial 16S ribosomal RNA". It matches the Rfam family "Bacterial small subunit ribosomal RNA", at positions 28 to 507 of the family's 1533-position model. The record is from RNAcentral.
GAUGAACGCUGGCGGCGUGCUUAACACAUGCAAGUCGAACGGUGAAGCAGAGCUUGCUCUGUGGAUCAGUGGCGAACGGGUGAGUAACACGUGAGCAACCUGCCCCUGACUCUGGGAUAAGCGCUGGAAACGGCGUCUAAUACUGGAUAUGAGCUGCGACCGCAUGGCCAGCAGUUGGAAAGAUUUUUCGGUCUGGGAUGGGCUCACGGCCUAUCAGCUUGUUGGUGAGGUAAUGGCUCACCAAGGCGUCGACGGGUAGCCGGCCUGAGAGGGUGACCGGCCACACUGGGCCUGAGACACGGCCCAGACUCCUACGGGAGGCAGCAGUGGGGAAUAUUGCACAAUGGGCGAAAGCCUGAUGCAGCAACGCCGCGUGAGGGAUGACGGCCUUCGGGUUGUAAACCUCUUUUAGCAGGGAAGAAGCGAAAGUGACGGUACCUGCAGAAAAAGCGCCGGCUAACUACGUG